This 253-nucleotide ribosomal RNA is filed under the name uncultured bacterium. RNAcentral's name for it is "partial 16S ribosomal RNA". It matches the Rfam family "Bacterial small subunit ribosomal RNA", at positions 524 to 776 of the family's 1533-position model. The record is from RNAcentral.
UACGGGGGGGGUAAGCGUUGUUCGGAAUUACUGGGCGUAAAGGGCUCGUAGGCGGCCAACUAAGUCGGACGUGAAAUCCCUCAGCUUAACUGGGGAACCGCGUCCGAUACUGGAUGGCUUGGAUUCGGGAGAGGGAUGCGGAAUUCCAGGUGUAGCGGUGAAAUGCGUAGAUAUCUGGAGGAACACCGGUGGCGAAGGCGGCAUCCUGGACCGAUAUUGACGCUGAGGAGCGAAAGCAUGGGUAGCAAACAGG